This 300-nucleotide ribosomal RNA is filed under the name uncultured Actinoplanes sp. Its description in RNAcentral is "bacterial SSU rRNA". It matches the Rfam family "Bacterial small subunit ribosomal RNA", at positions 496 to 795 of the family's 1533-position model. Lineage: Bacteria; Bacillati; Actinomycetota; Actinomycetes; Micromonosporales; Micromonosporaceae. The record is from RNAcentral.
UCUAGAGUCGGGCCAGCGGCCGGGGGAGUACGAAAGGGGCGAGUGUUAAGCGGAAUUACUGGGCGUAAAGCGGGCUUAGGCGGUUUGCUAAGUCAGAUGUGAAAGCCCCGGGCUCAACCUGGGAACUGCAUUUGAAACUGGCAGGCUAGAAUGCAGUAGAGGGAGGUGGAAUUUCCGGUGUAGCGGUGAAAUGCGUAGAGAUCGGAAGGAACACCAGUGGCGAAGGCGGCCUCCUGGACUGACAUUGACGCUGAGGUGCGAAAGCGUGGGGAGCAAACAGGAUUAGAUACCCGAGUAGUC